Molecule: long non-coding RNA, 1311 nt
Organism: Anguilla anguilla (European eel)
Lineage: Eukaryota; Metazoa; Chordata; Actinopteri; Anguilliformes; Anguillidae
Exons: 3
Source: RefSeq, a predicted model, not a curated record
UAAAAAAUGAAUGGAUAGAUGGGUAUCCUGUCCUGUAAUUGCUGAUCAACUAUAGUUAUUUUAUAAUUCUUAUAUUAUACUGAUAUUGUCCCAGAUAGAUAGAUAGAUAGAUAGACAGUCAGACAGGCAGACAGACAGAUAGAUAGAUCGAUCGAUCAACGUCAUGAACACCUUCCAGUCACAUUGAGGCCAUACUUGUUAUGGUAAAUGUGUCUCAUGUGAAAGGCAUUUAUCUGAAGCUCAAAUGUUUUGACUUGCGAUCUGCGAUCAACUGUCCAUCCAUCAUUCACGUCACUAUGUAAUGUGCGUCAUAUUCCCUAUUGCAGGGGUCUCAAACCCUUGUCCCAGAGUGCCGCAGUCUCUGCUGGUUUUCGUGAUUUCCUUUCAGUCAGCAGCCAAUCAUGGCCUUGGGAACAAGGUGUGCAGCCAAUUCUCUUGACUCUCUAGCCAAUUAAUGACUUAAACUAAGCACUUAAGUGCAGGAACACAUUAAAAACCAGCAGACACAGCGGCCCUCCAGGAUUUUAUUUUGAGAUCCCUGCCCUAUUGUUAGUGGUAAAACUUCGUUUAGCGGUGUUUUCUGAUACAGGGUUACCACAUCACAGCGAUCAAGUAAAAUCCCCCUCUGCAAGAGGUUUGUGACUGAAACCUGAAAUGGACAUAUUUGGAUCUGUUCAUUUAGCCGUUCCAUCUUGACAAAGGCUAACUUUCUCAACACACAGCACAACUGAGCUUUUCCCCCCUCAGUGGCCCACGUUCAGUUUGCGUCGCUACGAAAGUUAUGGGUGUGGCAGUACUGGAGUACACAUGCCCGUGUGAUGACUGGGACACAUUCCAGCGACUUUCAGAGAGACUGGGACACACACUUCCACGUGUUGCUGCCCCCAAGGACCUGAGAGGAAAAGGCAAACCAGCCCUGCAGGUCGAAGAGAGCAAAGCCUCACGCUCAAAACAAAGAGAGAAGGAUGUGGACCGCAACCAUUCCUUCGCCAGUCCUUCAUCUAGGUGUCCGUCUGCUAUUGGUUCCCUGCGCGUCACUCACCGUUCGAGCCCCGCUCCAGCACCCAACCCGAGACAGCGCGACUAUUCUAAACCGUCGCCAGGGCUUCAUGCCUUACAUUUGGGAAUUGCUCACUGUGUUCUGUGGUUGUCCGAUUGUCAUUUGUUGUCUUUGUAUAUUCCCUUGGGUGUGUCUGCAACCUUAUUGUUUCACAUAUCCUCUACCCGUUAGUAUCAUUUGUUACUGUGUUUUUUUGUCUGUGUCCUUACUGGUACUUCUACAUAUUGUAAAUAGCUCUCCCUCACCUGUAA